GCCCAUGUAGCUCAGUGGUAGAGCACUCCCUUGGUAAGGGAGAGGUCGCCAGUUCAAUCCUGGCCAUGGGCACCA
Molecule: transfer RNA, 75 nt
Filed under: Nitrosomonas europaea
Lineage: Bacteria; Pseudomonadati; Pseudomonadota; Betaproteobacteria; Nitrosomonadales; Nitrosomonadaceae
Also listed under: 12 other names
Description: tRNA_Thr_GGT
Rfam family: tRNA
About the family: Transfer RNA (tRNA) molecules are approximately 80 nucleotides in length. Their secondary structure includes four short double-helical elements and three loops (D, anti-codon, and T loops).
Source: RNAcentral